UACGAAGGGGGCUAGCGUUGUUCGGAGUUACUGGGCGUAAAGGGCGCGUAGGCGGCCCUCCAAGUCGGGCGUGAAAGCCCACGGCUCAACCGUGGAAUUGCGCUCGAGACUGAAGGGCUCGAGGACGGGAGAGGAUGGUGGAAUUCCCAGUGUAGAGGUGAAAUUCGUAGAUAUUGGGAAGAACACCGGUGGCGAAGGCGGCCUGCUGGGCAGUUGCUGACACUGAGGCGCGACAGCGUGGGGAGCAAACAGG
This 253-nucleotide ribosomal RNA is filed under the name uncultured bacterium. Its description in RNAcentral is "partial 16S ribosomal RNA". It matches the Rfam family "Bacterial small subunit ribosomal RNA", at positions 524 to 776 of the family's 1533-position model. The record is from RNAcentral.